RNAcentral lists this ribosomal RNA (499 nucleotides) under uncultured bacterium. Its description in RNAcentral is "bacterial SSU rRNA". It matches the Rfam family "Bacterial small subunit ribosomal RNA", at positions 9 to 504 of the family's 1533-position model. The record is from RNAcentral.
GAGUUUGAUCUUGGCUCAGAUUGAACGCUGGCGGCAGGCCUAACACAUGCAAGUCGAGCGGUAGAGAGAAGCUUGCUUCUCUUGAGAGCGGCGGACGGGUGAGUAAUGCCUAGGAAUCUGCCUGGUAGUGGGGGAUAACGCUCGGAAACGGACGCUAAUACCGCAUACGUCCUACGGGAGAAAGCAGGGGACCUUCGGGCCUUGCGCUAUCAGAUGAGCCUAGGUCGGAUUAGCUAGUUGGUGAGGUAAUGGCUCACCAAGGCGACGAUCCGUAACUGGUCUGAGAGGAUGAUCAGUCACACUGGAACUGAGACACGGUCCAGACUCCUACGGAGGCAGCAGUGGGGAAUAUUGGACAAUGGGCGAAAGCCUGAUCCAGCCAUGCCGCGUGUGUGAAGAAGGUCUUCGGAUUGUAAAGCACUUUAAGUUGGGAGGAAGGGCAGUAAAUUAAUACUUAGCUGUUUUGACGUUACCGACAGAAUAAGCACCGGCUAACUCU